GCGUUCGUGGUGUAAUGGUUAGCAUGGAGCCUUCCAAGCAUUCGACGGGGGUUCGAUUCCCCCCGAACGCA
RNAcentral lists this transfer RNA (71 nucleotides) under Haemonchus placei. It matches the Rfam family "tRNA". From Rfam's summary of the family: Transfer RNA (tRNA) molecules are approximately 80 nucleotides in length. The record is from Rfam by way of RNAcentral. Lineage: Eukaryota; Metazoa; Nematoda; Chromadorea; Rhabditida; Trichostrongylidae.